GUCUACGGCCAUGCCACCCUGAUCUCGGAAGCUAAGCAAGGUUGGGCCUGGUUAGUACUUGGAUGGGAGACCACCUAGGAAGACCAGGUGCUGUAGGCG
RNAcentral lists this ribosomal RNA (99 nucleotides) under Pteropus alecto (black flying fox). The record is from RNAcentral. RNAcentral also lists the same sequence under 1 other name. Lineage: Eukaryota; Metazoa; Chordata; Mammalia; Chiroptera; Pteropodidae.